AAGACUUUUAAAGCCCAC
RNAcentral lists this small nuclear RNA (18 nucleotides) under Arabidopsis thaliana (thale cress). Its description in RNAcentral is "snRNA_16040". Lineage: Eukaryota; Viridiplantae; Streptophyta; Magnoliopsida; Brassicales; Brassicaceae. The record is from RNAcentral.